This 224-nucleotide long non-coding RNA is filed under the name Homo sapiens (human). Its description in RNAcentral is "HSALNT0020792". Lineage: Eukaryota; Metazoa; Chordata; Mammalia; Primates; Hominidae. The record is from RNAcentral.
CCUGAAAUACCAGUUUGUGAAAAAGCUGCCAGUCACCUCCUGGGCUCCACCAUGGUCGUCAUACAGGUGGAAAUACGGUCUUCUUUGUCUCUGGGAUGACUGUAGACUACACUUGUGACCCUGGCUAUUUGCUUGUGGGAAACAAAUCCAUUCACUGUAUGCCUUCAGGAAAUUGGAGUCCUUCUGCCCCACGGUGUGAAGAACAUGCCAGCAUGUGAGACAGA